UACGUAGGGCGCGAGCGUUGUCCGGAUUUAUUGGGCGUAAAGAGCUCGUAGGCGGCUCGUUGCGUCGGCUGUGAAAACCCGCAGCUCAACUGUGGGCCUGCAGCUGAUACGGGCGGGCUGGAGUUCGGUAGGAGAGACUGGAAUUCCUGGUGUAGCGGUGAAAUGCGCAGAUAUCAGGAGGAACACCGGUGGCGAAGGCGGGUCUCUGGGCCGAUACUGACGCUGAGGAGCGAAAGCGUGGGGAGCGAACAGG
This 253-nucleotide ribosomal RNA is filed under the name uncultured bacterium. Its description in RNAcentral is "partial 16S ribosomal RNA". It matches the Rfam family "Bacterial small subunit ribosomal RNA", at positions 524 to 776 of the family's 1533-position model. The record is from RNAcentral.